Non-coding RNA from Phrynosoma platyrhinos (Desert horned lizard), 73 nucleotides. The record is from the annotation of a GenBank genome assembly. NCBI's taxonomy places the organism in Eukaryota, Metazoa, Chordata, Lepidosauria, Squamata, Phrynosomatidae.
GCCAGUGUGGUCUAGUGGUUUGAGCAUUGGACUAGGCCACUGAGAGACCAGGGUUCGAAUCCCUGCUCAGCCA